GCGCAGCAGGCGCGAAACCUUCGCAAUGCAGGAAGCUGCGACGAGGGAACUCCAAGUGCCUACGCUCAGCGUAGGCUGUUCUCAAGCCUAGAAAGCUUGAGGAGUAAGGGCUGGGUAAGACGGGUGCCAUCUGUGGGUAGCAGUCAAUAGAUUCGAUUUGUUACUGCAAGGCAUAAGCCGCCGCGGUAAUACCCGCAGCCCAAGUGGUGGCCGCUUUUAUGGGCCUAAAGCGUCCGUAGCCGGCCCGGUAAAUGCCUGGGUAAAUCGUGGAGCCCAACUUCACGAAUUCCGGGUAGACUGCCGAGCUCGGGACCGGAAGA
This 320-nucleotide ribosomal RNA is filed under the name uncultured microorganism. RNAcentral describes it as "bacterial SSU rRNA". It matches the Rfam family "Archaeal small subunit ribosomal RNA", at positions 330 to 606 of the family's 1478-position model. The record is from RNAcentral.